AUUGAACGCUGGCGGCAGGCCUAACACAUGCAAGUCGAGCGAGCGGCGGACGGGUGAGUAAUGUAUGGGGAACUGCCCGAUAGAGGGGGAUAACUACUGGAAACGGUGGCUAAUACCGCAUACUAUCGGAUGACCCCAUAUGGGAUUAGCUAGUAGGUGGGGUAACGGCUCACCUAGGCGACGAUCCCUAGCUGGUCUGAGAGGAUGAUAAGCCACACUGGAACUGAGACACGGCCCAGACUCCUACGGGAGGCAGCAGUGGGGAAUAUUGCACAAUGGGCGCAAGCCUGAUGCAGCCAGGCCGCGUGUAUGAAGAAGGCCUUAGGGUUGUAAAGUACUUUCAGCGGGGAGGCGUUACUCGCAGAAGAAGCACCGGCUAACUCCGUGCCAGCAGCCGCGGUAAUAC
Molecule: ribosomal RNA, 406 nt
Filed under: uncultured bacterium
Lineage: Bacteria
Description: partial 16S ribosomal RNA
Rfam family: Bacterial small subunit ribosomal RNA
Source: RNAcentral